This is a long non-coding RNA of Oncorhynchus tshawytscha (Chinook salmon), 4393 nucleotides long. NCBI's taxonomy places the organism in Eukaryota, Metazoa, Chordata, Actinopteri, Salmoniformes, Salmonidae. The record is from Ensembl.
GUGAUUUAUUACAGAAAACUGUGUUGAACAAACUGGUCUUAAAGUGCUACAUUCAGGUCGGAGGUUCAGAGUGCCGAGGCUGGAGCCCGAGGGGCCAGACGUGGGGUGGUCCUGGGGCCAGGGUGAGGUGCCCAUUUUGUGCCCGUCACCCCACGGCACCCCACCCCAGCGGUCACCCGUGGGACAGGGCCAUUCUCCACAUUCAUCCAGCCGCUCGUGCUUUUUUUUUGGGACGUUUCGGUUAUUCUUACAAAAAUGGCUGGAAAAAGGGUUGCAUUAAAAAUACAAUCAUUCUUUUUUUUCUUUUGGUCAGGCAAAACACGAGAAACCAAUACAUUUUGUAAGCUUUUGAAAACAGCAUCUGUAAUGCCCCCCUCAUAUAGUAAGUCCUACUCCUACCCCGACCUAGCACACAGCCCAGGCAGGUGAGAGUCCAGUGGUAUCUCCACGCUAGUCUGAGCACAGCCCAUACUCAGCCCCCUGAUAGCUUUAGUGUUUCAAAAGGAAACGUUACAUAGAGUCCUCCAUAAUAUCUCCAUCUGGUGUACACAACCCACUGGGCACUCCAGACCCUUGAAGUCAAGAAAAAUAUAUACAUUUCACCCAUAUGAAAGUAUGGUAAAUCACAUUUGGCAUGGAGGGGACACCAGGUUGCAUAUGCUCAGUAUCAUGUACAGCCAGCAUGUAGAUGUUACAGUAUCUCCAACCACUAAGGAUCUGGAAUGAAGUCCAUCUGAACUAAAGCUACUGAACUUAGGAACUACAGCCAUCAUUAUCAAAUAUUUGAUAGUUAUGGCAUUUUUUUAAAGGACAAGACAUACCCCUCUGUGCCAGAAAUACCCGAAGCUCCAUUCAAAGCCUAGAUAUGGCUUGACUGACCUCUAACAAGUGCUCUAAUCUGACCUGCGACCAGAACGGUGGAGGGAACAGGAUAUGGUGUAAGGUAGGACAUACGGGUUGGCACAGGGGCACACAUCCCGUCUGAAGUAACGCAGGCAUACUGAAAUUGCACAAUAAAACAAAUACGUAAUAAAAAUAUAACAUUUGUGGGUAAAAUUACACAGAACAAUAAAUAUGUCAAAUAGAUUCUUACACGUUCCAAAACAAAAAUCCUCCCGUAGUAUCUAAAAGUGAUUCAAAUCAUGGUAUGUAGAAACGGAAUGUAUGAAGCACUAACACCAGAGGUCAGUAAGAAACCCUUCUCAGAUAUCCUAAAUAGAUAUGGAUGUUGAUGUAAGGUCAGCAGGUGGUCACAUUACCUGAUGAGCAAGUCUGGAGUUGGGAUCGUUACCUUUGACAAACACUAAGUGGUAAUGGGACAUAGAUACCUCAUUUUAGGCCUUUAGUGCAUGUGCAUAUUAGUGAAUGCGUAGGUGUGUGUGCAUUAUGCGUGUGUUUCGGCAUAUGACAAAAUGUGCCUUUCUGACCGCAUGCCCAAAGGAAAAUCCUCAGAACUCCUGAUGUCCUUUAGAGGACAGGUCAUGACAACCACGUGCUAAUCUACAGGGAAGCUACAGGUAUUCCUAUGAAAACACUGUACGUGUCUCAAUGAAACACACAGGUUGCUUUUUAGGCCAUCGAUCCCAUCCAGUACAGCUGGGUAACCGAUGUAUGAGAAACACAUUCACACAUAAACAACUUGCUCACACUGCAACAUAUUUGAAAAUAUUUGGACGGUGCUGGGUAUGACAUGCAUCUCCCCAGGUCAGAUACAUUUUUGGCUUCAAGCACUAGGCAUUCAAACAGGUUCAGAUCUAUAGCUACAGCACAUGUAAUAAUUUACACAAUCCAAUUGGGAUUUUCUUAUAUUAUCACCGGCCUUCUGCUUGGAAGAUACAUGUCACGCUCCAGACACGGAACCAGGUAGAAACGUUGGCAAGCACAAGUCAUUACCGGUCAUUUUGAUGAACUCACAUACACUUUUUGGGAAGAUGGGAAAAUGGAGAAUUAAACCAGUAGGGGGCUGUGCCUCUAAACCCUCCCUUAACCCAGUAGGGGGCUGUGCCUCUAAACCCUCCCUUAACCCAGUAGGGGGCUGUGCCUCUAAACCCUCCCUUAACCCAGUAGGGGGAUGUGCCUCUAAACCCUCCCUUAACCCAGUAUAGGGGGCUGUGCCUCUAAACCCUCCCUUAACCCAGUAGGGGGCUGUGCCUCUAAACCCUCCCUUAACCCAGUAGGGGGCUGUGCCUCUAAACCCUCCCAUUUUGUUUAAGAUAUUCAGUAACUCGUGUGCAGUGUCGUCUGUAUUGAGCGAACAUGCGUUCUUGAUCCCUGGACUGGAAUCAUGUAACUUACAGUACCAGUCAAAAGUUUAGACACCUACUCAUUCAAGGGUUUUUCUUUAUUUCUUACUAUUUUCUACUUUCUAGAAUAAUAGUGAAGACAUAAAAACUAUGAAAUAAUACAUUAAAUAACGUAGUAACCAAAAAAAGUUACAUCAAAAUGAAUUUGAUAUAUUUUAUAUUCUUCAAAGUAGCCACCCUUUGCCAUCAUCAGUAGUCACCUGGAAAGCAUUUCAAUUAACAAUCUGUGCCUUGUUAAACGUUCAUUUAUGGAAUUUCUUUCCUUCUUAAUGUGUUUGAGCCAAUCAGUUGUGUCGUGACAAGGUAGGUGUUGGAAACAGAAGAUAGCCCUAUUUGGUAAAAGACCAAGUCUAUAUUAUGGCAAGAACAGCUCAAAUAAGCAAAGAGAAAUGACAGUCCAUCAUCACUUUAAGACAUGAAGUUCAGUCAAUCCAGAAAAUGUCAAGAACUUUGAACGUUUCUUCAAGCGCAGUCGCAAAAACCAUUAAGCACCAUGAUGAAACUGGCUGUCAUGAGGACCACCACAGGAAAGAAGACCCAGAUUCACUUCUGCUGCAGAGGAUACGUUCACUAGAGUUAACUGCACCUCAAAUGAGCCCAAAUAAAUGCUUCAGGGUUCAAGUAAGACAGAUCAACAUCAACUGUUCAGAGGAGACUGCGUGAAUCAGGCCUUCAUGGUCGAAUUGCUGCAAAGAAACCACUACUAAAGGACACCAAUAAGAAGAGACCUGCUUGGGCCAAGAAACACGAGCAAUGGACAUUAGACAGCAGAAAUCUGUCCUUUGGUCUGAUGAGUCCAAAUUUGAGAUUUUUGGUUCCAACCUAGGUGAAUGGAUGAUCUCCACAUGUGUGGUUGCCACCAUGAAGCUUGGAAGAGGUGUGAUGGUGCUUUGCUGGUGACAUUUUCUGUGAUUUAUUUAGAAUUCAAGGCACACUUAACCAGCAUGGCUACCACAGAAUUAUGCAGCGAUACACCAUCCUACCUGGUUUGCAUAUAUUGGGACUAUCAUUGGUUUUUCAACCUCCAGACUGUGUAAGGGCUAUUUGACCAAGGAGAGUGAUGGAGUGCUGCAUCAGAUGACCUGGCCUCCACAAUCACUCAACCUCAAACCAAUUGAGGCGGUUUGGGACGAAUUGGACCGCACGCAGAGUGAAGGAAAAGCAACCAACAAGUGCUCAGCAUAUGUAGGAACUCAAUCAAGAUUUUGGGAAAAGCAUUCCUUACAAAGCUGGUUGAGAGAAUGCCAAGAGUGUGCAAAGCUGUCAUCAAGGCAAAGGGUGGCUACUUUGAAGAAUCUCAAAUACAUCUUGAUUUCUUAACAGUUUUUUGGUUACUACAUGAUUCCAUAUGUGUUAUUUCGUAAUUUUGACAUCUUCACAAUUAUUCUACAACAUAGAAAAUAAUAAAAAGAAAAGAAAAACCCUUGAAUGAGAAGGUGUUCUAAAACUUGACUGGUACUGUACAAACUAUUUGGGCCUGGAACUGUGGAAUCUGUUUCAGAAAGUUAAGUAACAUUUUUGUUUUAACAAACCUUGACCUAAACACACAAGUAAUAACAAGUGGAAUGUGGCAUUCAUGGAGCCUCCUUCAUUUCAUGCAGAUGAAUCAUUCUGGGUCUGUGGAGGUGUGGCUGCAUGUUAGAACACAGCAGAUCAUAGUAGUACUACUGACAAGGUAGCCGUGUACGCAUUCAUUUCGAUUUUUUAAGAAAGAAAAAGAAACUGCGGAAACUCAUGCCUCCUGUCUGAAUAGUGCAGUAAAGCCGUUGUAAAAAACAGCCUGUGCUGCGUGGGCCAGUGGUGCAGUACUCUGCAGACAUGCAGAGGGAAACAGGAAGAGGGUGACAGGAGUCCAUCCCUGGCUCUUCUAGCAUCUUUUCUAUUUUCUUUUUGUCAAUUUCCAUAUUCUUUUUAGAUCAGGCAAAAGUGCUGGAAGCCAGCUUGACUGCCAUGGGGGCCUGAAAGACACUGGCCGCAGUAUAGUUAACCCUCCUUUCUGACCUUCACUCCUGCCCGAUCAGGUGCUUGUAGGACAAGGGCGUGACAGCAGCGAUCUGGAGAGGACAAACACACAGAGACAGAAGUCAGUC